RNAcentral lists this ribosomal RNA (460 nucleotides) under uncultured Gracilibacter sp. Its description in RNAcentral is "partial 16S ribosomal RNA". It matches the Rfam family "Bacterial small subunit ribosomal RNA", at positions 341 to 792 of the family's 1533-position model. The record is from RNAcentral. Lineage: Bacteria; Bacillati; Bacillota; Clostridia; Eubacteriales; Gracilibacteraceae.
ACGGAAGGCAGCAGUGGGGAAUAUUGCGCAAUGGGCGAAAGCCUGACGCAGCGACGCCGCGUGGAGGAAGAAGGUUUUCGGAUUGUAAACUCCUGUCGGAAGGAACGAAUGAAUCGGUGGUCAAUAACCACCGGAAGUGACGGUACCUUCAAAGGAAGCACCGGCUAACUCUGUGCCAGCAGCCGCGGUAAGACAGAGGGUGCAAGCGUUGCUCGGAAUUACUGGGCGUAAAGGGCGCGUAGGCUGAUUUGUAAGUUGGAUGUGAAAUACCGGGAGUUAAACCCGGAACUGCAUUCAAGACUGCAGGUCUGGAGUAUCGGAGAGGGAACUGGAAUUCCUGGUGUAGAGGUGAAAUGCGUAGAUAUUAGGAGGAAUACCAGUGGCGAAGGCGGCUUACUGGACUGUGACUGACGUUGAGGCUCGAAAGCGUGGGGAGCAAACAGGAUUAGAUACCCUGGUA